Molecule: transfer RNA, 72 nt
Filed under: candidate division SR1 bacterium RAAC1_SR1_1
Lineage: Bacteria; Candidatus Absconditibacteriota
Also listed under: 1 other name
Description: tRNA-fMet (CAT) (tRNA-fMet-CAT-1-1)
Rfam family: tRNA
About the family: Transfer RNA (tRNA) molecules are approximately 80 nucleotides in length.
Source: Rfam by way of RNAcentral
UGCGGGGUAGAGAAACGGUAUCUCGUUGGGCUCAUAACCCGAAGACAGGUGGUUCGACUCCAUCCUCCGCAA